UGGAAAUGUACUCAGGUUGGCCACCCCUGGCUCAGAAGAACCUCUCAGGUUCAGGCUCAAUGCUUAAGAAGAGUAGAAGAUUUCCUGCCUUGAUUGAUCCUUGAGGAAUGGUCUGUUCCCCAGAUGCUUGAUGUUGCUCUCUCUCCUGUAUACAAAGUUGAUAUAGAGAAGCUAAUGAUCUCUGCUGAGUAAAAACAAUUAAAGAAGAAACUACCCCAAGGCUGGAGAGUGAGUUAAUCAAGGUUGCUGGUUCUUCACUGAAUCCCCACCCAGAAUGACUGCUGUAAACACUCAAGACUGAUCUAAGGAGAAAGGACUGGGACCCAGGCUGAGACAGGGGUCUAGCCUGUGAAGAGAAAUACCUGGAACUCUAAGCUAUAGAAACUCUGCAACUGGCCUAAACAACAUUCAGGGUACACUCUAUCCUGAAAGUUUGCAUACAAGGCUUUAGUUUCCACAUCUACCACAUCUCUAAAGAUCCCUAAGUGACCUCCUCAAGGAUUGAGCUCACAACCCUGGGUUUAGCAGGCCAAUGAUCAAACCACUGAGCUAUCCCUCCCCCCUUGAAUCCUUUGAUAGACCCUAAGGCUUCAAGCUUCAACUUGUUGGUUUUCCAUAUGAGUGUCUGUCUCAUUUUUCCUGUUAAUAUUUAUUUAUGAUGGGACACACACAACCUAUUACUGGAUGAACCAGGAAAAGAUUAAAUCCCUCACCCUCAGGAACUGCUCAUGUUGUAGUCUUGAGAGAAAGGAAGUGCCCUAUUAGAAGCUGCUGAGAAGUAGAGACAACAUCUAUGCCACCUAACCAGGAAGCCAAAAAGGCAAAAGGGGCUUCCACACAGGUGAGGUGAGAGAUGUGGUCCUGUGAAGGAAGAACUCAUGCUCUCUUGUCUAGUCCAGUAGCCUCCUGAAUCAAACCUAGACCAGGAAAUAAGAAGAAACUGGAGAAUUAUCAGGCUUGCUUGUCCAGGAGAACUAUACUAGUUCCCAGAGAGACUAUGCAUACAGUAAGAAGUAUACCAUUGCAUUUUCCCUUGGACGCUGAAGAAUGCUGACCUGUGAUUGGUUUGUUUUCCUCUGGAUGAGAUUGCUGGGGUGGAUUUCUUUUUCCCCUUUUAGGCUUUGUUUAAAGGGGUGUGUGGCAUGACACUCCAUAUCCUUUAUGGAAAUGUGCCAGAUCCAUGUCAUAAGCAUGAUAAAAUAUCAUAAGCAUGCAAAAUGGGUCUUGUAGGGUAUCACUGAAAAGGUUAUAAGUUACUGAAUGUGAUUAUCCAAUUUGUAUGCAUGUAUCAUUUCUAUGUCUAAAGUUAGGAAUAUGAACUAUAACAAUUGCAACUGGGUGUGUAUUUGGGAGACACCCACCAGACAACAGGCCAGCAGCCUUGAUCGGUCAUUAGGAAGAAACAACAAGACUGUGAAGAUACUAAUCUCUUUCUUUCCUGAGAGGCGUCCUGGGAUGUAGCUGUGAUGCUACUAGGUCAGGUGGUCCUGUCACCUGGUACUAAACAUUAUCUUGGACUUCUAGUUAUUUUCCACUAACAGGAGGGGGGGAAGUCAAGUUUGGGAAACAAAAGAUUUCCGCCUUAUGUAAAUCAUAUUUAAGGCUGUGGAGAAAGACUAACAGGACUCUCCUCCAUUGCCUACCCCAAGAAGAAAGACUGCUGAAAAUACCUGAAGAGACAAUGGAACUAACCUGAGGUGAAAGGCAGGGAAGAGUCCAGACUGAGACAGGGGUCCAGUCUGUAAGAAGAAAUAACUGGAACUCUAAGUUACAGAAACUCUUCAAGUUGCCUAAAAGAACAUUUAGGGUGAGAAAUUACUUCCUGAAACCAGUAUCUUUAAGAUCUUAAGCUUAGUAUGCAUGUUUUGAUUUAUUUGCUUAGUAAUCUGCUUUGUUCUGUUUGC
Long non-coding RNA from Malaclemys terrapin pileata, 1904 nucleotides. RefSeq lists it as uncharacterized. The record is from RefSeq and is a predicted model, not a curated record. Lineage: Eukaryota; Metazoa; Chordata; Testudines; Emydidae. The transcript has 5 exons.